RNAcentral lists this ribosomal RNA (448 nucleotides) under uncultured bacterium. Its description in RNAcentral is "bacterial SSU rRNA". It matches the Rfam family "Bacterial small subunit ribosomal RNA", at positions 329 to 793 of the family's 1533-position model. The record is from RNAcentral.
AGCCAGACUCCUACGGGAGGCAGCAGUGGGGGAUAUUGCACAAUGGGGGAAACCCUGAUGCAGCGACGCCGCGUGAGUGAAGAAGUAUUUCGGUAUGUAAAGCUCUAUCAGCAGGAACGAGACAAGACGGUACCUGACUAAGAAGCCCCGGCUAACUACGUGCCAGCAGCCGCGGUAAUACGUAGGGGGCAAGCGUUAUCCGGAAUCACUGGGUGUAAAGGGAGCGUAGACGGCUGUGCAAGCCUGAAGUGAAAGGCGGGGGCCCAACCCCUGGACUGCUUUGGGAACUGCCCGGCUAGAGUGCUGGAGAGGUAAGCGGAAUUCCUAGUGUAGCGGUGAAAUGCGUAGAUAUUAGGAGGAACACCAGUGGCGAAGGCGGCUUACUGGACAGUAACUGACGUUGAGGCUCGAAAGCGUGGGGAGCAAACAGGAUUAGAUACCCCUGUAC